RNA transcript from Malaclemys terrapin pileata, 1191 nucleotides. It is a transcript of the gene named eukaryotic translation initiation factor 1B, with no coding region annotated. Lineage: Eukaryota; Metazoa; Chordata; Testudines; Emydidae. The record is from RefSeq and is a predicted model, not a curated record. The transcript is spliced from 5 exons.
GGGCAGCUGGCAGUGGCGGCGCGGUGCAUGCUGGGCGUUGUUGUUCCCCACCGCUCUGCGGCUGCUUGCUGCCGGCUUGGGAAGACUCCAUUCCCCAGGAUGCUCCGAGCCGACGGAGGUCACGUGUCCGCGGCUGGGGCAAGGGCCGGGCAUAAGAGCGGGCGGCCAUUUUGUGAGAGAAGCAGUCGCUGCUGCCUCCGCGUCUGCGCCGCGCUCGCCGCCCCGGCUCCCUGCCGUCGCUCCGGACUUGCGGUUUGUUUUUUUCUCUCCUCCCUGCAGAUCCAGUGAGACGUGACCCGGGCGCACCCAGCCGCGGCCUUCUCCCCUGCUCAGCGCCCCGCCACUGAAUCGCAUGUCCACUAUCCAGAACCUCCAAUCCUUCGACCCCUUUGCUGAUGCAACUAAGGGUGACGACUUACUCCCGGCAGGGACUGAGGAUUACAUUCAUAUAAGGAUCCAGCAACGAAACGGCAGGAAGACGUUAACUACUGUUCAGGGAAUUGCAGAUGAUUAUGACAAAAAAAAACUUGUGAAAGCUUUCAAAAAGAAAUUUGCUUGUAAUGGUACUGUGAUUGAGCAUCCUGAGUACGGUGAAGUUAUCCAGCUUCAAGGUGACCAGAGAAAGAACAUUUGCCAAUUCCUCUUAGAGUUUUUGAACCUUUAAUACAGCUCUUAAUACACUGACCUGAAAGGACAAAACCAGAUGCUUGCAGUACAUAAGAACGGCCAUACUGGGUCUGACCAAAGGUCCAUCUAGCCCAGUAUCCUGUCUUCCGACAGUGGCCAAUGCCAGGUGCCCCAGAAGGAAUGAACAAAACAGGUUGGCAUCGUCAAGGAGGAACAGCUGAAAGUUCAUGGUUUCUAAAAUGUGUAUAAUCACAUGAAGAAUUCUGCAGUUUUUGUUCAUACUCACACUGGCUAAACUGUGAAAUAUGAGUCUUUUCAGUAAAUGGACUUCCCACUUACCUAAGCAUUUAAAGUUUUAUUCACAUUUGCAUGAUUACAGAAAACAUGUGGUGUGUAGACUAGAAACACACAAAAAAAUUGCAGUAAGAUGGUAAUGAAGACCUUUGUGAAUUUUUAACACAUUUCCAAUGGAAAUGUUUUAGUGCUGAUUGUUGAGUUUAUUACUUUUCACCUGACUUAAAUGUUUUUUGUUGUAUUAAAACCAUGUAUGUUGCAGCUUAAAAA